This 786-nucleotide ribosomal RNA is filed under the name uncultured Neocallimastigales. RNAcentral's name for it is "partial large subunit ribosomal RNA". It matches the Rfam family "Eukaryotic large subunit ribosomal RNA", at positions 18 to 640 of the family's 3401-position model. The record is from RNAcentral. Lineage: Eukaryota; Fungi; Neocallimastigomycota; Neocallimastigomycetes; Neocallimastigales.
UCAGACGAUGCGUCAUGCAUAUCAAUAAGCGGAGGAAAAGAAACUAACAUAGGAUUCCCUCAGUAACGGCGAGUGAAGCGGGAAGAGCUCAAAUUUGAAAUCUUCAAGGUUUGACCUUGACGAAUUGUAGUUUAAAGAAGUGUUUUCGGUUAGAGGAGUUUGGUAAAAGUUCUUUGGAAUAGGACAUCAUAGAGGGUGAGAAUCCCGUAUUUGACCAUUAUUUCCAGCUGUGUGAUACACUUUCAAAGAGUCGGAUUGUUUGGGAAUGCAGUCCAAAAUGGGUGGUAAAUUUCAUCUAAAGCUAAAUAUUGGCGAGAGACCGAUAGCGAACAAGUACCGUGAGGGAAAGAUGAAAAGAACUUUGAAAAGAGAGUUAAACAGUACGUGAAAUUGUCAAAAGGGAAGCGUUUGACACCAGUGUUGUUUUCUCGAAAAUCAAUUAUAAAUAGUUGAUUUUGAGGAGUGUAUUGACCUUUAAUCAGGCUUGCUUCUACUCUUUCCUGAACUUUUGUAAUGCACUUUUCGGUUAACAAGUCAACAUCAAUUUCUUUUGUUGUAAAAGGGUCAUUCGGAAGGUGGCUUUCUCUUCGGAGAAAGUGUUUAUAGCCCUUGAUACUCUACAAUCGGAGAGACUGAGGUCUGCAGCGUAGAUCCUUCGGGGUUAGAUACACUUGUGCUAAGCUACUAGCUUUUCAUAGACAACUUGUUGACUAUGUUUAGUCUUGUAGCUUACUCGCUUAGUGCUAUUUUACCUACGCUUAGGAUGUUGAUAUGCAUGACUGAUAU